GUGGGGGUGACCAGGAAAAGAGGGCAAAGCAAACAAGCCUCUGUCUCUCAGUUUCAUUAAAUGUCCAGAUGGAGUGGCAUAGGCAUGGGUGAGUGGUAGGUCUUGUAGGGAGGACCUGAGCCGUAGGAACAUGGCCAGGCACUGACAGCAUCACUCGUCGCCUUGUUGAAGGAGCAGAAGGUGGAUUUCUUGGAAUGAGGGACGGUUCUUCGUAUCUCUUCUCCAGCAGCUGAGCAUCAGCUUAUACACAGAGUCAGGACAAAUGGCUGGUUGAGGGAGGUAAGUCUGCCUCCCUUGGUCUCGGAAGAACUCUCCAGUAUUCUCAAUAACCUGUUCAUCUGACAGCUGGGAAUAGGGCUG
This 360-nucleotide long non-coding RNA is filed under the name Homo sapiens (human). RNAcentral's name for it is "LNC_000371". The record is from RNAcentral. Lineage: Eukaryota; Metazoa; Chordata; Mammalia; Primates; Hominidae.